GACGACGCUGGCGGCGUGGAUUAGGCAUGCAAGUCGAACGGUAGGAUACCUUCGGGUAUCUGAGAGUGGCGAACGGGUGAGUAACACGUAGGUGAUCUACCCUCAAGAUUGGGACAACCCAGGGAAACUUGGGCUAAUACCGGAUGAAAGCAGCAGUGAUGUUGUUUGAAAGGUGGCGUAAGCUGCCGUUUGGGGAUGAGCCUGCGCUCUAUUAGUUAGUUGGCGGGGUAAAGGCCCACCAAGGCGAUGAUAGAUAGGCGGCCUUAACGGGUGGUCGCCCACACUGGGAUUGAGAUACGGCCCAGACUCCUACGGGAGGCAGCAGUCGAGAAUAGUCUACAAUGGCCGAAAGGCUAAUAGUGCGACGCCGCGUGAACGAAGAAGCCCUUCGGGGUGUAAAGUUCUUUUAUAUGUGAGCAGUGCUUUCUAUGUGAACAGCAUGGGGAGAGAGAUAUUAGCAUAUGAAUAAGCAACGGCUAACUCCGUG
Molecule: ribosomal RNA, 487 nt
Filed under: uncultured bacterium
Lineage: Bacteria
Description: bacterial SSU rRNA
Rfam family: Bacterial small subunit ribosomal RNA
Source: RNAcentral